CCCCAGACUCCUACGGGAGGCAGCAGUGGGGGAUAUUGCACAAUGGGGGGAACCCUGAUGCAGCGACGCCGCGUGGGUGAAGAAGCGCCUCGGCGCGUAAAGCCCUGUCAGCAGGGAAGAAAAUGACGGUACCUGAAGAAGAAGCCCCGGCUAACUACGUGCCAGCAGCCGCGGUAAUACGUAGGGGGCAAGCGUUAUCCGGAUUUACUGGGUGUAAAGGGAGCGUAGACGGCCAGACAAGUCUGAAGUGAAAUGCCGGGGCUUAACCCCGGAACUGCUUUGGAAACUGAGCAGCUAGAGUGCAGGAGAGGUAAGUGGAAUUCCUAGUGUAGCGGUGAAAUGCGUAGAUAUUAGGAGGAACACCAGUGGCGAAGGCGGCUUACUGGACUGUAACUGACGUUGAGGCUCGAAAGCGUGGGGAGCAAACAGGAUUAGAUACCCGGGUA
RNAcentral lists this ribosomal RNA (446 nucleotides) under uncultured bacterium. RNAcentral's name for it is "partial 16S ribosomal RNA". It matches the Rfam family "Bacterial small subunit ribosomal RNA", at positions 329 to 792 of the family's 1533-position model. The record is from RNAcentral.